UCAGGAUGAACGCUAGCUACAGGCUUAACACAUGCAAGUCGAGGGGUAGCAGGGUAGCAAUACCGCUGACGACCGGCGCACGGGUGAGUAACACGUAUCCAACCUUCCCAUAACUCAGGGAUAGCCUUUCGAAAGAAAGAUUAAUACCUGAUAGUACUUUUUCAAGGCAUCUUGAGAAAGUUAAAGAUUUAUUGGUUAUGGAUGGGGAUGCGUUCCAUUAGAUAGUUGGUGAGGUAACGGCUCACCAAGUCUUCGAUGGAUAGGGGUUCUGAGAGGAAGGUCCCCACAUUGGUACUGAGACACGGACCAAACUCCUACGGGAGGCAGCAGUGAGGAAUAUUGGUCAAUGGGCGAGAGCCUGAACCAGCCAAGUAGCGUGAAGGAUGAAGGUCCUAUGGAUUGUAAACUUCUUUUAUAGUAGAAUAAAGUGAUCCACGUGUGGAUUUUUGUAUGUAUACUAUGAAUAAGGAUCGGCUAACUCCGUGCCAGCCGCUGC
Molecule: ribosomal RNA, 496 nt
Filed under: uncultured bacterium
Lineage: Bacteria
Description: bacterial SSU rRNA
Rfam family: Bacterial small subunit ribosomal RNA
Source: RNAcentral